ACAACAAACCAAAACAAACACAUGAGAAAUUUCUGGGCAGCUUAAGGUUUUAGAAACAGCAGCAGGGUUUGAAUUUCAUGUUCAUCAAAUCAACAUCAAUUUACAGCAUGGCUGACAGCAUAACAGUAACACAUGUUCAUGCAAAUACAAACAAUAGCAGGCAUGAUUCUGAGAGAAAACAAACUGGAAACAAACUAGGGUUUAAGAGAUACAUCCAUGUUUCACCAUCUU
RNAcentral lists this long non-coding RNA (231 nucleotides) under Lathyrus oleraceus (garden pea). RNAcentral's name for it is "Pisum sativum (pea) long non-coding RNA (PSAT_LNC039793)". The record is from RNAcentral. Lineage: Eukaryota; Viridiplantae; Streptophyta; Magnoliopsida; Fabales; Fabaceae.